This 228-nucleotide unclassified non-coding RNA is filed under the name plant metagenome. Its description in RNAcentral is "partial contains small subunit ribosomal RNA and internal transcribed spacer 1". The stretch from base 1 to 46 matches the Rfam family "Eukaryotic small subunit ribosomal RNA", at positions 1786 to 1831 of the family's 1831-position model. The record is from RNAcentral.
AAGUCGUAACAAGGUUUCCGUAGGUGAACCUGCGGAAGGAUCAUUAUCCAUCUAAAACCAGGUGCGGUCGCGGCCUCCGGGUGAAAGCCUGGGUGGUUUCGCGCCGCAUUCCUGCACCCUUUUUUACGAGCACCUUUGUUCUCCUUCGGCGGGGCAACCUGCCGCUGGAACUUAAUAAAACCUUUUUGCAUCUAGCAUUACCUGUUCUGAUACAAAUAAUCGUUACAA